UAAAUUGCUGUGGUAUUUUAACUAUACGAAGGUAUUGAAAUAAGGCUUUAAAUGGGUGCUAAGAGAAUGGUUUAACGAAGAUAGACUUUUUUCUUUUUUUUAUUAAAAGUUGAUUUAAAAAUGAAGAGGUUUUUAUAGAAAUUUGGGACAAGAAGACCCUAUGAAUUUUGAUAUAAGAUUUUUUAAUUAAAUUUUCUAAUAAAUUUUAAAUUUUUCUUUUAUUUGAUUGGGGUGAUUUUUAAAGAUUCAGAAUCUUUAAAGUUUUAUUAAAUGGAUCCAUUAAUAGUGAUUUGUUGAAUAAAAUACUCUAGGGAUAACAGCGUUAUUAUUUUGGAUAGUUCAUAUAGAUAAAAUAGUUUGCGACCUCGAUGUUGGAUUAAGAUACUCUUGGAGUGUAGAAGCUUCAAAAAUAGGAGAAGUUUGCUCAACUUUUAAAUUCUUACUUGAU
RNAcentral lists this ribosomal RNA (448 nucleotides) under Carios vespertilionis. Its description in RNAcentral is "partial 16S ribosomal RNA". The stretch from base 313 to 448 matches the Rfam family "Bacterial large subunit ribosomal RNA", at positions 2473 to 2604 of the family's 2925-position model. Lineage: Eukaryota; Metazoa; Arthropoda; Arachnida; Ixodida; Argasidae. The record is from RNAcentral.